RNAcentral lists this ribosomal RNA (547 nucleotides) under uncultured Chloroflexota bacterium. RNAcentral describes it as "bacterial SSU rRNA". It matches the Rfam family "Bacterial small subunit ribosomal RNA", at positions 355 to 919 of the family's 1533-position model. The record is from RNAcentral. Lineage: Bacteria; Bacillati; Chloroflexota.
CAAGGAAUUUUCCGCAAUGGGCGAAAGCCUGACGGAGCAACGCCGCGUGGGGGAGGAAGCUUUUCGGAGUGUAAACCUCUUUUCUUGGGGACGACGAACGACGGUACCCGAGGAAUAAGGACCGGCUAACUACGUGCCAGCAGCCGCGGUAAUACGUAGGGUCCGAGCGUUGUCCGGAGUUACUGGGCGUAAAGCGCGCGCAGGCGGCUCGUCAAGUCUGGCGUGAAAGCCCCCGGCUCAACCAGGGAGGGUCGUCGGAGACUGGCGAGCUUGAGGGCGGUAGGGGCUGGUGGAAUUCCCGGUGUAGUGGUGAAAUGCGUAGAGAUCGGGAGGAACACCUGUGGCGAAGGCGGCCGGCUGGGCCGUCCCUGACGCUGAGGCGCGAAGGCGUGGGGAGCGAACGGGAUUAGAUACCCCGGUAGUCCACGCAGUAAACGAUGCAGACUAGGCGUGGGGGGACUUGACCCCUCCGUGCCGGAGCCAACGCGGUAAGUCUGCCGCCUGGGGAGUACGGUCGCAAGACUAAACUCAAAUGAAUUGACGGGGG